This 285-nucleotide long non-coding RNA is filed under the name Homo sapiens (human). Its description in RNAcentral is "HSALNT0207278". Lineage: Eukaryota; Metazoa; Chordata; Mammalia; Primates; Hominidae. The record is from RNAcentral.
UCUACGUGGGACACAGGGAGCCACCUCCGGGCGCAGAGGCCUACAUCCCACAGAGAUACCCAGACAACAGGAUCGUCUCGUCCAAGGUAAUGCGGAACGCACGUGCCUGCGUUCAGACUCCGUUUAUCUUCACCGUCCUUCAAAAUGGAUGAGCUAAACCCACGCACACGCGUGGACGGGCUGCACAUGGGGUAAACUGUGCUUUCCAGGUAAUGCGGAACGCACGUGCCUGCGUUCAGACUCCGUUUAUCUUCACCGUCCUUCAAAAUGGAUGAGCUAAACCCA